Molecule: long non-coding RNA, 383 nt
Filed under: Rosa chinensis
Lineage: Eukaryota; Viridiplantae; Streptophyta; Magnoliopsida; Rosales; Rosaceae
Description: sRNA RchiOBHm_Chr1g0336771
Source: RNAcentral
UACCGUACUGAAGUCAAUGCUGGACGGAUCACGAGGUUUCAUCAGCUUAUCAAUAUUAUAUCUGUAGCCGAGAAACAUGAUAACAUACUCGUGAGGAAUUAUAAUUCAAGGCCCAUUGGAACUAAGAGCGUUCAUGAGGCGAAUUAUAAUGCACCCAAAGGAGGGCGCAAGGAGCGGUACCCUAAGAAUGGGGGACAUGAGGGACGUAUGGGCCCAUAUAACCGCCCUAAUCAGGAAGGAAACCGCAAGUUUGGUGUGGAUACACGUGGUGGUAAUGCCACACGUGGGAGAGGGGGUCGUGGUAUCCCUAGCCGUAAUGGUGGCUUAAUGGGUCGUGGUGGUGGCACCAACCCUCCUAGGGAACGCCCGCAACGUGCAUAACG